This 254-nucleotide ribosomal RNA is filed under the name uncultured bacterium. Its description in RNAcentral is "partial 16S ribosomal RNA". It matches the Rfam family "Bacterial small subunit ribosomal RNA", at positions 524 to 776 of the family's 1533-position model. The record is from RNAcentral.
UACGGGGGGAGCAAGCGUUGUUCGGAUUUACUGGGCGUAAAGGGCGCGUAGGCGGUCAGCACAAGUCAAUUGUGAAAUCUCCGAGCUUAACUCGGAAAGGUCAACUGAAACUGUGCGACUAGAGUGCGGAAGGGGCAACUGGAAUUCUUGGUGUAGCGGUGAAAUGCGUAGAUAUCAAGAGGAACACCUGCGGCGAAGGCGGGUUGCUGGGCCGACACUGACGCUGAGGAGCGAAAGCAUGGGGAGCGAACAGG